Molecule: ribosomal RNA, 426 nt
Filed under: uncultured bacterium
Lineage: Bacteria
Description: bacterial SSU rRNA
Rfam family: Bacterial small subunit ribosomal RNA
Source: RNAcentral
UCGAGAAUCUUUCACAAUGGGGGCAACCCUGAUGGAGCGACGCCGCGUGGAGGAUAAGGUCUUCGGAUUGUAAACUCCUGUCAUGUGUGAACAAGGUUGCGGGGCUAAUACCUUUGCAAAUUGAUGGUAACACAAGAGGAAGAGACGGCUAACUCUGUGCCAGCAGCCGCGGUAAUACAGAGGUCUCAAGCGUUGUUCGGAAUCACUGGGCGUAAAGGGUGCGUAGGUGGCGUGGUAAGUCAGAUGUGAAAGCCCGGGGCUCAACCUCGGAAUUGCAUCCGAUACUGCCAUGCUCGAGUACUGAAGAGGUGACUAGAAUUCUAGGUGUAGCAGUGAAAUGCGUAGAUAUCUAGAGGAAUACCAAAGGCGAAGGCAGGUCACUGGGCAGUUACUGACACUGAGGCACGAAGGCCAGGGGAGCGAACG